AGUGAACGCUGGCGGUAGGCCUAACACAUGCAAGUCGAACGGCAGCACAGUAAGAGCUUGCUCUUACGGGUGGCGAGUGGCGGACGGGUGAGGAAUACAUCGGAAUCUACUUUUUCGUGGGGGAUAACGUAGGGAAACUUACGCUAAUACCGCAUACGACCUACGGGUGAAAGCAGGGGAUCUUCGGACCUUGCGCGAUUGAAUGAGCCGAUGUCGGAUUAGCUAGUUGGCGGGGUAAAGGCCCACCAAGGCGACGAUCCGUAGCUGGUCUGAGAGGAUGAUCAGCCACACUGGAACUGAGACACGGUCCAGACUCCUACGGGAGGCAGCAGUGGGGAAUAUUGGACAAUGGGCGCAAGCCUGAUCCAGCCAUACCGCGUGGGCGAAGAAGGCCUUCGGGUUGUAAAGCCCUUUUGUUGGGAAAGAAAAGCAGCAGGUUAAUACCCCGCUGUUCUGACGGUACCCAAAGAAUAAGCACCGGCUAACUUCG
Molecule: ribosomal RNA, 490 nt
Filed under: uncultured bacterium
Lineage: Bacteria
Description: partial 16S ribosomal RNA
Rfam family: Bacterial small subunit ribosomal RNA
Source: RNAcentral